AAAAUCAGGCAUAUCUACCAUCUCAAACACCACCUGGUAUCAAGGAUCUUCGACGUGAAGACUUGUUGAGCAUUCGUGGCAAUGGGAAAGGCGAGAGGAAGCUGCAUGAACGAAUCUAUGAUUAUGAUGUUUAUAACGAUUUAGGCAAUCCUGACAAAAGUGAGGAUCUUGCUAGGCCACUGCUAGGUGGCAAAGAGAAACCUUAUCCCAGGCGCUGUCGGACUGGUAGAGGUCCAACUAAGAAAGAUCCACUUGCAGAGAGAAGAAUAGAGAAACCUCAUCCAGUUUACGUCCCUAGAGAUGAAACUUUUGAAGAAAUUAAGCAAAAUACUUUUUCUGCUGGAAGGUUGAAAGCUCUGUUACAUAACCUGGUACCAUUAAUUGCGGCUACAUUGUCAAGCUCAGACAUUCCAUUUACAAACUUCACUGACAUAGAUAAACUGUAUAAGGAUGGGGUUGUCUUGAAUGAUGAUAAUGAUCCACAGAAGAAUAAUUUUCUUUCUGAAAUGUUGGAGAAAGUGUUUUCUGUCAGCAAAAGGUUGCUCAAGUACGAGAUUCCUGCUAUAAUCAGAAGGGAUAGAUUUGCUUGGUUGCGAGAUAAUGAGUUUGCGCGACAAGCUUUAGCAGGGGUUAACCCUGUGAACAUUGAACUUUUGAGGGAAUUUCCAAUUGUUAGCAAGCUAGACCCAGCUGUUUAUGGUCCCCCUGAUUCAGCUAUUACACGGGAUGUUAUAGAACAAGAGCUUAACGGAAUGAGUGUUGAAGAGGCUAUUCAAGCUAAGAGAUUGUUUAUACUUGAUUAUCAUGACAUGCUUUUGCCUUUUAUUGGGAAGAUGAACUCCUUGCCGGGGAGAAAAGCUUAUGCAUCAAGAACACUUUUCUUCUAUACAUCCAGAGGUGUUCUAAAGCCAAUUAUCGUUGAACUUUCACUGCCUCCGACACCUUCUUCAGCUAGGAACAAGCGUAUAUUCUCCCAUGGACAAGAUGCAACCAAUCACUGGAUAUGGAAUCUAGCCAAAGCACAUGUUUGUUCAAAUGAUGCUGGUGUCCAUCAGUUGGUGAACCACUGGUUAAGGACUCAUGCUUGUAUGGAACCAUAUAUCAUUGCAUCCCAUAGGCAUCUUAGCUCACUGCACCCAAUUUAUAAGCUACUUCACCCUCAUAUGCGCUACACGCUGGAAAUCAAUGCACUUGCAAGGCAGAGUUUGAUAAAUGGAGGUGGAGUUAUUGAAGCAUGUUUCAGUCCUGGAAGGUAUUCAAUGGAAAUAAGCUCUGCCGCUUACAAGAGCAUGUGGCGGUUUGAUAUGGAAGCACUGCCUGCAGAUUUAAUAAGACGGGGAAUGGCUGUGGAGGAUACAUCGAUGCCUUUGGGGGUGAAACUUGUGAUUGAAGACUACCCUUAUGCAGCAGAUGGCCUUCUCAUAUGGUCUGCAAUAAAAGAAUAUGUGGAGUCCUAUGUUGAUCAUUACUAUUCCGAGCCUAAUUUUGUCACGUCUGACGUUGAGCUCCAGGGCUGGUGGAAUGAGAUCAAGAACAAGGGACACGCGGAUAAGAAAAACGAGACUUGGUGGCCAAAGCUUGUUACUAAAGAAGACUUGUCUGGCAUACUCACCACAAUGAUCUGGACUGCCUCAGGCCAACAUGCAGCAAUAAACUUCGGGCAGUACCCUUUCGGAGGUUAUGUACCUAACCGUCCCACCAUUAUGCGAAAGCUCAUCCCACAUGAAGAUGAUCCCAGCUAUGAAAACUUUAUUCUUCACCCCGAGUAUACUUUUCUUGCUUCUUUGCCUACUCAACUCCAAGCUACUAAAGUGAUGGCUGUUCAAGAUACCUUGUCGACUCAUUCAGCAGACGAGGAGUACAUGUAUCAGUUACACGAAAUUCAACAAUUCUCCAUAAAUGAUCAUGAAGUUUUGAAGAUUUUGAAAAGAUUCUCAGCCAAAUUAAAGGAGAUAGAAGAUACCAUCAACCAACGAAACAAGGAUAUUCGUCUUAAGAAUCGAAGUGGUGCUGGUGUUCCUCCAUAUGAACUGCUACUACCUACUUCUGGUCCUGGUGUUACCUGUCGCGGUAUUCCGAACAGCAUCUCUAUCUGACAUGUUCAUGUGUUCACUCUAUAAUUUAUAUCUUCUAUGGUUAUAACUUUGUGCUAUGCAAUUUGUAGGUACUAUUCCUUCUUUUACAAAUGUUUUACAGGUCUUGCAGAAUAAUAUAUUGAGGGUUGUAAGCUGUUGAG
This 2236-nucleotide unclassified non-coding RNA is filed under the name Hevea brasiliensis (rubber tree). The record is from RNAcentral. Lineage: Eukaryota; Viridiplantae; Streptophyta; Magnoliopsida; Malpighiales; Euphorbiaceae.